GAAACUUAAAGGAAUUGACGGGGCCGCACAAGCGGUGGAGCAUGUGGUUAAUUCGACGCAACGCGAAGAACCUUACCAGGGCUUGACAUCCCCUGACCGCGUAUGAAAGUACGUUUUCACCCUCGGGUGACAGGGAGACAGGUGGUGCAUGGUUGUCGUCAGCUCGUGUCGUGAGAUGUUGGGUUAAGUCCCGCAACGAGCGCAACCCCUACGUUUAGUUGCUAACGCGUGAAGGCGAGCACUCUAGACGAACUGCCGUUGACAAAACGGAGGAAGGUGGGGAUGACGUCAAAUCAUCAUGCCCCUUAUGUUCUGGGCUACACACGUGCUACAAUGGCCGGUACAGACGGACGCAAAGCCGCGAGGUGGAGCAAAUCCUAAAAAGCCGGUCUCAGUUCGGAUUGCAGGCUGCAAUUCGCCUGCAUGAAGUCGGAAUCGCUAGUAAUCGCAGGUCAGCAUACUGCGGUGAAUACGUUCCCGGGCCUU
Molecule: ribosomal RNA, 486 nt
Filed under: uncultured Pelotomaculum sp.
Lineage: Bacteria; Bacillati; Bacillota; Clostridia; Eubacteriales; Desulfotomaculaceae
Description: bacterial SSU rRNA
Rfam family: Bacterial small subunit ribosomal RNA
Source: RNAcentral